UUCCGCCUCUUCAAAAAAUUCCGCAAAAUAGAACCAUACUGAGAAGACUUGCAUGACACUUUUGCAAAGAUGACACGAUCAAAUGACAUAAUUCAAAUUUUU
Small nuclear RNA from Abrus precatorius (Indian licorice), 102 nucleotides. Lineage: Eukaryota; Viridiplantae; Streptophyta; Magnoliopsida; Fabales; Fabaceae. The record is from RefSeq and is a predicted model, not a curated record.